Megalops atlanticus (tarpon) is the source of this 70-nucleotide non-coding RNA. NCBI's taxonomy places the organism in Eukaryota, Metazoa, Chordata, Actinopteri, Elopiformes, Megalopidae. The record is from the annotation of a GenBank genome assembly.
UUCAGUGUGUCGUAGUGGUAGGAAACUGGGCUUGUAACCAAAAGGUUGCUGGUUCGAUUCCCUGCUGGAG